AUAUCUCUCUGUACGGGAAGGAUGAGAAGCUUCGACCAGGGUUCGAUUCGAGCGCAGCGAGAAAGCGUUGCCGCAGGCAACGACCCGAAGG
This 91-nucleotide small RNA is filed under the name Salmonella enterica subsp. enterica. RNAcentral's name for it is "partial RtT sRNA". It matches the Rfam family "RtT RNA", at positions 1 to 90 of the family's 130-position model. Rfam says of the family: This family represents a bacterial cis-regulatory element known as RtT RNA. The exact function of RtT is unknown although it is thought that it may be involved in changing the cellular response in relation to amino acid starvation. The record is from RNAcentral. Lineage: Bacteria; Pseudomonadati; Pseudomonadota; Gammaproteobacteria; Enterobacterales; Enterobacteriaceae.